Molecule: ribosomal RNA, 449 nt
Filed under: uncultured bacterium
Lineage: Bacteria
Description: partial 16S ribosomal RNA
Rfam family: Bacterial small subunit ribosomal RNA
Source: RNAcentral
AACGAACGCUGGCGGCAUGCCUAACACAUGCAAGUCGAACGAGAUCUUCGGGUCUAGUGGCGCACGGGUGCGUAACGCGUGGGAACCUGCCCUUUGGUUCGGAAUAACAGUUGGAAACGACUGCUAAUACCGGAUGAUGACGAAAGUCCAAAGAUUUAUCGCCAGAGGAUGAGCCCGCGUAGGAUUAGCUAGUUGGUGUGGUAAAGGCGCACCAAGGCGACGAUCCUUAGCUGGUCUGAGAGGAUGAUCAGCCACACUGGGACUGAGACACGGCCCAGACUCCUACGGGAGGCAGCAGUGGGGAAUAUUGGACAAUGGGCGAAAGCCUGAUCCAGCAAUGCCGCGUGAGUGAUGAAGGCCUUAGGGUUGUAAAGCUCUUUUACCCGGGAUGAUAAUGACAGUACCGGGAGAAUGAGCUCCGGCUAACUCCGUGCCAGCCGCCGCAGUAA